Molecule: ribosomal RNA, 406 nt
Filed under: uncultured bacterium
Lineage: Bacteria
Description: partial 16S ribosomal RNA
Rfam family: Bacterial small subunit ribosomal RNA
Source: RNAcentral
AUUGAACGCUGGCGGCAUGCUUUCCACAUGCAAGUCGGACGAGUGGCGAACGGGUGAGUAACGCAUCGGAACGUACCGAGUAAUGGGGGAUAACUGUCCGCAAGGACAGCUAAUACCGCAUCGUAUUCGAGCGGCCGAGUUGUGCUUAGCUGGUUGGGGGGGUAAAGGCUCACCAAGGCGACGAUCAGUAGCGGGUCUGAGAGGAUGCUCAGCCACACUGUGACGGGGAAACGGCCCAGACUCCUACGGUAGGCAGCAGUGGGGAAUGUUGGACAAUGGGCGCAAGCCUGAUCCAGCCAUGCCGCGUGUCUGAAGAAGGCCUUCGGGUUGUAAAGGACUUUUGUCAGGGAAGCGGUACCUGAAGAAGAAGCACCGGCUAACUCCGUGCCAGCCGCCGCGGUAAUUC